AUACCUUUCUCGGCCUUUUGGCUAAGAUCAAGUGUAGUAUCUGUUCUUAUCAAUUUAAUAUUUGAUAACGGGAACCUACGGGUUCCCGGCGGGUGAGCCUAUAGGUCUACCUAUAUGUUUGCCCGCCCAGAUGUUAAUUUUUUUAAAGGGGAAGGACCCAUUAUCUAGUAGCUUGCUACUUGGGGGUUCCUUCUAUGUUGUCCUUGCUUUGUACUCCCGCAAGGGCUUAGGACACCCACC
Molecule: non-coding RNA, 240 nt
Organism: Corchorus olitorius
Lineage: Eukaryota; Viridiplantae; Streptophyta; Magnoliopsida; Malvales; Malvaceae
Source: Rfam